UUCUUUAUUUGGUUCUUAUGUAAUUCUUGAACAUAUGUGUGACGCCCUCGAUUCAAUCAUACACUAAUCAUACACGCAAAUGUGUACGAUCAAGAUCAAGGACUCACGGGAAGAUAUCACAACACAACUCUAGACACAAAUUAAAAUAAUACAAGCUUUAUAUUACAAGCCAGGGGCCUCGAGGGCUCGAAUACAUAAGCUCGAAAACACAAGAGUCAGCGAAAGCAACAAUAUCUGAGUACAGACAUAAGUUAAACAAGUUUGCCUUAAGAAGGCUAGCACAAAAGCAACAUUGAUCGAAAAGGCAAGGCCUCCUGCCUGAGAGCCUCCUAACUACUCCAAGUCGUCAUUGGUCUUCACGUAGUAGUAGGCAUCCUCCGGGUAGUAGUAGUCAUCAGUGGCGUCGUCUGGCUCCUGGGCUCUAUCAUAUGGUCGCAACAAUCGGGUAUGGGGGAAAAGAAGUAGCAAAGCAACCGUGAGUACUCAUCCAAAGUACUCGCAAGACUUACAUCAGAUCUAAACUAAGUAUGCAUCUGUAUCAAAGGAAUGGGUUGUAUCUGUGGACUAAACUGCAGAAUGCCAGAAGGGAAGGGGAAAGCCUAGCCUAUCGAAGACUAUCAUCUUUUGGAAACCACCAUCUUGCAGCAAUAGGAGGGAGUAGAGUAGCAUAACUUAAAGUAGCAGUAGUGUUAUCAACCUCGGCCAGAGAUCCUUUCUCGACUCCCUGCGAGAAAUCAAUCCCAGAGCCAUACUAUCCAUUUCUCAUCACCAUCCAUUUCUCAUCACAGUCCAUUUCUCAUCACAAGUAUCUAGUUCUAGUUGUAUCGAUCGGGAUACAACUCCAAGUGUCCGUUACUGUAGGACAGGCUAUCGAUAGAUGUUUUCUUCCCUGUAGGGGUGCACCAACUUACCCACCACGCUCGAUUAACUCCGGCCGAACACACUUUCCUGGGUCAUGCCUGGCCUCGGCCAAACAAUACGCCGUAACCCGACCUAGGCUUAAUAGAGAGGCUAGCAUGCCGGACUAAACCUAUGCCCCCAGGGGUCAUGGGCCAUCUCCCCGGGAACUCCUACACGUUGCGAGGGCGGCCAGUGAGCAGACCUAGCUACCUCCUAAAAAGGUAGGAGCUUACCAGUCCAACCCGGCGCGCGCCGCUCAGUCGCUGACGUCUAUUAAGCUUCGGCUGAUGUAUACGACGCAGAACGCCCAUACUAUGCCCAAAUGAUGGUUAGUGCUAUCAGGCCAAAGGCCCCUCGGAUCAAAUAUCCAAAUCGUAGUGGAUUAGGAACGCGCGGUAACGAGCAGAGACUCACGAUCGAUGUGACCCCAUCGCCCCGUCUUGAGUACUUGCGACAAGGGCUAAGAAUGCCCGACCACACCUCGUAAGUAUCACGCGGGCACCUUCCAGGUCAACCCGACUCCACAUCACUCGCUACUAAGCUCGCGCGGGUACCCUCAGGGUCGACCCGUCUUUAGUAACAUGGCUCAGUGCAAAGUCAUAGUAACCAUAGUAACUGUGUGUCUAACACCAAGGGGAAAACCCGAGGAAUCACCCCGGUGAAUCCCACUCGAUGUUAUCAUCAAGGUGAACGUAAGAGGAUCCACCCUCGAGGUUCACAUUUGAUGGGUUUCACGGCAGAGCCAUAACGGAAGUGGUUAAGGAGGAAAUCACCCUCGAUGACCUCGACCGUAUAGCUACACUACAGAGAUCUCAUCAGGAGUGAUGUAAGAGGUUCCACCCUCGGCACUCGAUGGUAACUCUACAGAGUCGUACAACUAGGGGGUGAUGUGCGGUGCGGGGCCUGGACGUCGAUCACGUUGAUCGAGUCAUUGAACAUAAAGCGGGGCAACUGGGACAAGGUGGGGGUCACUGAUGGAUCACUAUCCAACCUAUACUAAGCAGUUUAGGAUGAGCAGGUAAGGUAUGAAAGCAGGUAACAAAAACAGGCUAUGAAUCAGAGUAGGAUCAUACAGAAAGCUGUAGCAGUUCUAAUGCAAGCAUGAGAGGGAAAGAAAUGGGCGAUAUCAGAAUGCUCAAGGGAGGGGAGGGGUUGCUUGCCUAGUUGCUCUAGCAAGGAAGGGUCGUCGUCGACGUAGUCGAUCACAACGGCAUCAUCAGCGGUCUCGGGGUCUAUCGGAGAGAAGAGGGGGAAGAAACAAUAAAUACAGAGCAAACAGAGGUACCACUAAGCAUGACAAGACGAUAAGCAGAACUAGGGUCGAUCUAACGUAGUACUGCACGAUAUAGGUGAAGGGGGAAUUCACCGAGAAUGUUUGCCCGAUUCUAGACCUGUGUCAGACAGAUGACCGAAGGGGGAAAGUUCCAUGUUCAGCUAGUUAGAGGCAUCUGACAGGUAAACGAACCACGUAUUUGGAUCCGUCUCGUCGUUCUGAGCAACUUUCAUGUAGAAAACAUUUUCAUCCGAGUUACGGAUUAUUUUCUAUGAUUUUUUUAAGAUUAAACAAUAUUCUGCAAUUGCUGGAAAUUAAAUUAAAUUCGAAAAUUAUAUUAAAUGAAAAUGCUAAGUGAACCUAGUAGAGUAUACACAACAAUGCACACACAGGCUGACAUGUGGGGCCAGUGGGGUGUUGAGUCAAUAGGGUCAAUAGUCAACAUUGACUGGGUUGACCGGUCAAAUCUAAGCAGUGGGGCCCAGAUAUCAUUGGGCCAUUAUUUUAAACAUAUUGUUUAUUUUGCCUAGUUAGUGGUGGGGUCCCAUUAGUAGUGUGUUAGGUGCUGGGUUAGUGGGUUGUAAUUAGAUUAGCAUCUAAUCUAAUCCUAGCAAGGCCCAGGUGGCGAUGGCACUAGCCGGCCACUGUAUGGCUGUGCCUCACGCACGAGCGCACACAUGGGGCGCUCGCGGCCAGCGCCAGCCGCAACACUGGUGGUCGAGCAAGCAGACGGCUGGGCGAGCGGACAGCGCAAGCGUGCGUCGGGGCAAUCGGACGGCUGCGGCAUGCGGCGAGGAGCAAGGGAAAGCAGAGGCAGCAACAGGAAGUAGCGGCAGCAGCGGGAGCAGAAAGCAGUAGCGCCAGCUGUAGCAAAAAGCAGAAGCGGCAACGACAAUAGCCAGCAGCAGCGCGGGCGGGCGCGGCCAAGCCGCGGUGGAUGCACGCUCGGCGCCCAGGGGCACGGCCAGGGGCGCGCGUGAGCGAGGGCACGCGGCGGUGAGCACGACACUAGCAGACAGCAGGACGUGUACAGUACGGGUGCAGCCAUGGACGAGCUCAAGGCGGCGGCUACGGCUAUGGAUCGAAGGGAGGAAGUAGGGGAAUCGAAGGAGGGGCUCACCACGGAGCUCGUGGACGCGGUCAGGAGGUCGGGGGCGUUCGGGAGGCGGCGCAUCUGACGAUGAACUUUGGUGGCCGUGGCGAAGAAGACGGGCGAUGGCGAGCUUCCGGUGCGCCCCUACUUGAAUCGAAGCAAGCAGACGAAGGAGUUGUCCAUGCUGAAGCUCCUGGACAUCCUCCCGGGCGCCGGGGAGACCAGUGGCCACGAGGACGAUAAUGGCGCGGCAGCAACGGUUCGGGCGCGGUCUAAAUAGAGAAGAGGAGGGCGAGCGAGGGUGAUAUGGCGUGCUA
RNAcentral lists this long non-coding RNA (3583 nucleotides) under Triticum aestivum (bread wheat). RNAcentral's name for it is "long non-coding RNA (TAES_LNC001737)". The record is from RNAcentral. Lineage: Eukaryota; Viridiplantae; Streptophyta; Magnoliopsida; Poales; Poaceae.